AAGAGUAAAAUGCAUGCGGUCCUGUCUCCUACAAAAUUAUUUGCGCUGUACCGCUUUGUGCCUUUGUUCGACCGUUCUAACUCGAUGCAUUGACUCUGCUGUGCCCGAUGGAUCUCGUAAGCACCAGUCCGAGAUGGAAAAGAAUAACAAGCGUUUGUCUGGGCCAUCUUGGAUAUAUACAGAGCACAAUCUUGAAUAGCGGAUAGUUACUUGCUUCAAAAGUCAAUGGAAAAGGUCAGCAAACAAGUUGCAACUUGCAAGUGAAGAUUUUGCUGACCUGAUAAGCCGCAUCCCCAUUGGCCACUAGACACAGAAGUAGCAAAACUGUAGGAUUUGUCUUACUAGGCUUCUUAUAUAAAGCUUCAAGCCUGCAGAGAGCCUAGAGGAACAACAGUUCAUGGCUUCCACCAAGCUUGCUCUUCCUGUAGCUCUCCUGCAGUGUGGAUUCUUGGUGAUUGGAUCCAUAAACAGCAGAGAGGCAUAGAAGGAAGGGAAGUUUUGCACCAUGGAAUGCCUGGCGGGAGAGUAUAUGACGUGCCCGUCGACAGGCUGCGAUAAGCUGGCACCGGCGUGCAACUGCUGCGUCGCCAGUGAGGAACGCUGCACCAUCUACCUCAAAAACGGGGAAGUGAAGAAAUGCACCUGAAGAUUUGUCUCUUCACGAACUCUUGUAUGUUCAGAGAAGAUCCAUCCUGCGUUGAAUAAAAUCUCCCUCGUAUUACAAGAGAUGUACGUUGUGUGGGUGGUUUGUGCAAAACCCUGAGCAAUUACAGUAAUCGUCCAAAAGAAAGAUGAAAUGCAGUAGCUGACUGCAACUUAUGAUUUGACUGGAAGGAUAAAAGUCCCAUUGGCCAUCA
Molecule: long non-coding RNA, 857 nt
Organism: Brachypodium distachyon (stiff brome)
Lineage: Eukaryota; Viridiplantae; Streptophyta; Magnoliopsida; Poales; Poaceae
Exons: 2
Source: RefSeq, a predicted model, not a curated record